Homo sapiens (human) is the source of this 165-nucleotide small nuclear RNA. The record is from Ensembl. Lineage: Eukaryota; Metazoa; Chordata; Mammalia; Primates; Hominidae.
AUGCUUACCUGGCACGGGAGAUAUACCAGGAUCCUGAAGGUGGUACUCCCAGGGUGAGGCUUAUCCAUUGUGCGCCAGAUGUGUUGACCCUUGUGAUUUCCCCAAAUGUGGGAAACUCACUGCAUCAUUUGUGGUAGUGGGGGACUGUGUCUGUGCUCUCUCCUG